AACCGGGAGAGGUAAGAGGUACGUACAGGGGUAGGAGUUGAAAUCUUGUAAUCCCUGUGGGACCACCUGUGGCGAAGGCGUCUUACCAGAACGGGUUCGACGGUGAGGGACGAAAGCUGGGGGCACGAACCGGAUUAGAUACCCGGGUAGUCCCAGCCGUAAACGAUGCUCGCUAGGUGUCAGGCAUGGCGCGACCGUGUCUGGUGCCGCAGGGAAGCCGUGAAGCGAGCCACCUGGGAAGUACGGCCGCAAGGCUGAAACUUAAAGGAAUUGGCGGGGGAGCACAACAACGGGUGGAGCCCUGCGGUUUAAUUGGACUCAACGCCGGACAACUCACCGGGGGCGACAGCAAUAUGUAGGCCAAGCUGAAGACUUUGCCUGAAUCGCUGAGUGGAGGUGCAUGG
RNAcentral lists this ribosomal RNA (404 nucleotides) under uncultured archaeon. Its description in RNAcentral is "bacterial SSU rRNA". It matches the Rfam family "Archaeal small subunit ribosomal RNA", at positions 597 to 997 of the family's 1478-position model. The record is from RNAcentral.